UCCUGGUUAACCCAGGCAGUCUCACUAGAGUUCCCACCAUAAUGUUGGCAACUAGUGAUAAGGGUUGCGCUCGUUGCGGGACUUAACCCAACACCUCACGGCACGAGCUGACGACAGCCAUGCAGCACCUGUUCAGAGGCCCCGAAGGGAGAUCCCAUUUCUGGGACUGUCCUCUGUAUGUCAAGCCUGGGUAAGGUUUUUCGCGUUGCAUCGAAUUAAACCACAUGCUCCACUGCUUGUGCGGGUCCCCGUCAAUUCUUUUGAGUUUCAGCCUUGCGACUGUACUCCCCAGGCGGUAUACUUAUCACGUUAGCUUCGGCACAACCAGGGUUGAUUCCGGUUACACCAAGUAUACAUCGUUUACGGCAAGGACUAC
Molecule: unclassified non-coding RNA, 376 nt
Filed under: uncultured Parachlamydiaceae bacterium
Lineage: Bacteria; Pseudomonadati; Chlamydiota; Chlamydiia; Parachlamydiales; Parachlamydiaceae
Description: contains 16S-23S intergenic spacer region
Source: RNAcentral